Molecule: long non-coding RNA, 390 nt
Filed under: Coturnix japonica (Japanese quail)
Lineage: Eukaryota; Metazoa; Chordata; Aves; Galliformes; Phasianidae
Description: lncRNA (ENSCJPG00005020484.1)
Source: RNAcentral
GCAGAAUUUGAGCUUUAUCUUAUAUGUGACUCAAGAAUGUAGGUCUUUUACUUCUUAUUCAAGAUGAAAUCCUGUUACAUGGCUGCCUUUUGAAGGAUUUAAUUGCUCCAAGGAUUCAUGCUUACACAGUAUUCUUCACCUCUUAAAAAUCACCGUAAGUCCUACUUUAGUAAUGCUAUUCUUUGAUGAGAAUAUUUCACGUCCUGUGUAAAGUGGGUUAGGACUUUCCUCAUUCCCUUGUCAUCACAUAUGAAUUCUAGCCAAUAUAAAUGUCCUGUCUUAUUGGCAGGGACCAAAGAGAAAUCAGACAUACUGAGAGGAUUGCAAAUGAAGGACUUUUACAGCUACAUGUUACCUCUGCAGUUUGACGCAAGAACUGAAGGCUAUUGA